CCUACGGGAGGCAGCAGUGGGGAAUAUUGCACAAUGGGCGCAAGCCUGAUGCAGCCAUGCCGCGUGUGUGAAGAAGGCCUUCGGGUUGUAAAGCACUUUCAGCGGGGAGGAAGGCGGUGAGGUUAAUAACCUCAUCGAUUGACGUUACCCGCAGAAGAAGCACCGGCUAACUCCGUGCCAGCAGCCGCGGUAAUACGGAGGGUGCAAGCGUUAAUCGGAAUUACUGGGCGUAAAGCGCACGCAGGCGGUCUGUCAAGUCGGAUGUGAAAUCCCCGGGCUCAACCUGGGAACUGCAUUCGAAACUGGCAGGCUGGAGUCUUGUAGAGGGGGGUAGAAUUCCAGGUGUAGCGGUGAAAUGCGUAGAGAUCUGGAGGAAUACCGGUGGCGAAGGCGGCCCCCUGGACAAAGACUGACGCUCAGGUGCGAAAGCGUGGGGAGCAAACAGGAUUAGAUACCCGUGUAGUC
This 465-nucleotide ribosomal RNA is filed under the name uncultured Klebsiella sp. RNAcentral's name for it is "bacterial SSU rRNA". It matches the Rfam family "Bacterial small subunit ribosomal RNA", at positions 338 to 795 of the family's 1533-position model. The record is from RNAcentral. Lineage: Bacteria; Pseudomonadati; Pseudomonadota; Gammaproteobacteria; Enterobacterales; Enterobacteriaceae.